CUCUCCUUGGUGUAGUUGGUUUAUCACGUUCGACUGUAAUUGUUCAAAUUGUUAUCGAAAGGUCCCUAGUUCGAUUCUGGGAGGAGAGA
RNAcentral lists this transfer RNA (89 nucleotides) under Gaeumannomyces tritici R3-111a-1. RNAcentral's name for it is "tRNA GGTG_20126". It matches the Rfam family "tRNA". Rfam says of the family: Transfer RNA (tRNA) molecules are approximately 80 nucleotides in length. Their secondary structure includes four short double-helical elements and three loops (D, anti-codon, and T loops). Lineage: Eukaryota; Fungi; Ascomycota; Sordariomycetes; Magnaporthales; Magnaporthaceae. The record is from Rfam by way of RNAcentral.